UACGGAGGGUGCAAGCGUUAAUCGGAAUUACUGGGCGUAAAGGGUGCGUAGGUGGUUUAGUAAGAUAGCUGUGAAAAGCCUGGGCUCAACCUGGGUCUGUCAGCUGUGACUGUUAAACUAGAGUAUAGGAGAGGGUAGUGGAAUUUCCGGUGUAGCGGUGAAAUGCGUAGAGAUCGGAAGGAACACCAGUGGCGAAGGCGGCUACCUGGCCGGAUACUGACACUGAAGCACGAAAGCGUGGGGAGCAAACAGGAUUAGAUACCCUGGUAGUCCACGCUGUAAACGAUGUCAACUAGCUGUUGGUCAUAUGAAGAUGAUUAGUGGCGCAGCAAACGCGAUAAGUUGACCGCCUGGGGAGUACGGUCGCAAGAUUAAA
Molecule: ribosomal RNA, 376 nt
Filed under: uncultured bacterium
Lineage: Bacteria
Description: bacterial SSU rRNA
Rfam family: Bacterial small subunit ribosomal RNA
Source: RNAcentral